Molecule: ribosomal RNA, 629 nt
Filed under: Agabus ruwenzoricus
Lineage: Eukaryota; Metazoa; Arthropoda; Insecta; Coleoptera; Dytiscidae
Description: partial 16S ribosomal RNA
Rfam family: Bacterial large subunit ribosomal RNA
Source: RNAcentral
GUCCUUUUGAAUUUAAUAUGAGGUCUAACCUGCCCACUGAAAUUUUUUGAAGGGCCGCAGUAAUUUGACUGUGCAAAGGUAGCAUAAUCAUUAGUUUUUUAAUUGAAAGCUUGUAUGAAGGGUUGGACGAGGUAAAUUCUGUCUCUAUUUAAUUUUACAUAAAAUUUAAUUUUUAAGUUAAAAAGCUUAAAUUUAUUUAAAAGACGAGAAGACCCUAUAGAUCUUUAUAUUAAAAAUAUUAAUUUUAAUUAAGAAUAUUUAAUUUUUUAGUAUUUAUAAUAUUUUAUUGGGGUAAUAAAAAGAUUAAAAUAAUUCUUUUUUUAUUUUAACAUUUAUUUAUGANUGUAUGAUCCAAUUUUAUUGAUUAAAAGAUUAAGUUACCUUAGGGAUAACAGCGUAAUUUUUUUAGAGAGUUCAUAUCGAUAAAAAAGUUUGCGACCUCGAUGUUGGAUUAAAAAUUAUCUUAGGUGUAGAAGUUUAAGAUUUUGGUCUGUUCGACCAUUAAAUUUUUACAUGAUCUGAGUUCAGACCGGUGUAAGCCAGGUCGGUUUCUAUCUUUAAUAAAAUAUAAUAUUUUAGUACGAAAGGACCAAAUAUUUAAUAUAUUUAUAUUUAAUUAUUUUGAAUAU